RNAcentral lists this ribosomal RNA (253 nucleotides) under uncultured bacterium. RNAcentral describes it as "partial 16S ribosomal RNA". It matches the Rfam family "Bacterial small subunit ribosomal RNA", at positions 524 to 776 of the family's 1533-position model. The record is from RNAcentral.
UACGUAGGGUGCGAGCGUUGUCCGGAAUGACUGGGCGUAAAGGGCGCGUAGGCGGCUCGUGAAGUCGGGUGUGAAAGCCCGGGGCUCAACCCCGGAACGGCAUCCGAUACUGGCGGGCUUGAGAACGGGAGAGGAGGGUGGAAUACCCAGUGUAGAGGUGAAAUUCGUAGAUAUUGGGUGGAACACCGGUGGCGAAGGCGGGUCUCUGGGCCGUAACUGACGCUGAGGAGCGAAAGCGUGGGGAGCGAACAGG